GUGUCCAUUGGGACCGCUGACCGACACGCACGAGGCCUAUCAGCGACGGGACGAGGUCAAGGGUUAACGAGGCCCGCUGAGGAGGAUGCCAUACAUUGGCCACGCAGUCAGUGGGGGUUUCUGGGUAAUAAGUUGGCGAAGAAACCACCAGCGUAGUGCAGAGUGCAAGUCGAGCGAUCCAGCGCCACGGGCGUGAUAACGGGCUGCAGGUCAAGGUUCAUCGCGUCGACAGAAAAGGAGCCUUUGAUGAGUUGGUGACGGAUCAUCUCGGGGGAACCGGAGUGAACACGUUGGAGAUGAAUCAAAUAAAACCAAAUGAGGUGAUGAACAUACGCGGCUCUGACAUGGCGCUUGCUGUAGAAUCGGAUGUGUGUGGAAAUGUUUCAAAGGCUUUUCAAAGGACGAGGAAUCCAACAGGACGUCGUCGCUCAUCUGCUACACGGAGUUAUCCUCGAUGAUGGAAGUUAGAUUUGAUUUAAUGAAACGCGCUGGAUCUCUUUAUUCAAAUUGAGGAUUAGGUUGUUGAAGGAUUUAUGCGAUGGAAUUGUUUUUCUGGGGGGGGAGGAUUCAGCCUGACAACCACCAGCUGAGACACACAUUUCUCUCGUGUGGACAUGUUGCAUUCUUUGUCUCCAUUCAUCACACAGAGGAGAUGAAGAUACUUCGGCGGAAAGCUUCCCAUUGGCUCCUCGUGUUCCAUUCCUCCACGCGACCUUCACGUGUCCUCAUUCCUCAGUGCCGGGGUGGAUCCAACACCUCCCCCAGCAUCACCUGGAUGGGAGCAGAGACGGCCUG
Molecule: long non-coding RNA, 795 nt
Organism: Gasterosteus aculeatus aculeatus (three-spined stickleback)
Lineage: Eukaryota; Metazoa; Chordata; Actinopteri; Perciformes; Gasterosteidae
Source: Ensembl